UACGUAGGGGGCAAGCGUUGUCCGGAAUUAUUGGGCGUAAAGCGCGCGCAGGCGGCUUUGUAAGUUUGGUGUUUAAUCUCAGAGCUCAACUCUGAUUCGCAUCGAAAACUGCAAGGCUUGAGUGCAGAAGAGGAAAGUGGAAUUCCACGUGUAGCGGUGAAAUGCGUAGAGAUGUGGAGGAACACCAGUGGCGAAGGCGACUCUUUGGCCUGUAACUGACGCUGAGGCGCGAAAGCGUGGGGAGCAAACAGG
RNAcentral lists this ribosomal RNA (252 nucleotides) under uncultured bacterium. RNAcentral describes it as "partial 16S ribosomal RNA". It matches the Rfam family "Bacterial small subunit ribosomal RNA", at positions 524 to 776 of the family's 1533-position model. The record is from RNAcentral.